Molecule: ribosomal RNA, 760 nt
Filed under: uncultured Fusobacteriota bacterium
Lineage: Bacteria; Fusobacteriati; Fusobacteriota
Description: bacterial SSU rRNA
Rfam family: Bacterial small subunit ribosomal RNA
Source: RNAcentral
GGAACUUGCCUUACAGACUGGGACAACAUUUUGGAAACGAAUGCUAAUACCGGAUAUUAUGACUGAGUCGCAUGAUUUGGUUAUGAAAGCCUAUAUGCGCUGUGAGAGAGCUUUGCGUCCCAUUAGUUAGUUGGUGAGGUAACGGCUCACCAAGACGAUGAUGGGUAGCCGGCCUGAGAGGGUGAACGGCCACAAGGGGACUGAGACACGGCCCUUACUCCUACGGGAGGCAGCAGUGGGGAAUAUUGGACAAUGGACCAAAAGUCUGAUCCAGCAAUUCUGUGUGCACGAUGAAGUUUUUCGGAAUGUAAAGUGCUUUCAGUUGGGAAGAAGUCAGUGACGGUACCAACAGAAGAAGCGACGGCUAAAUACGUGCCAGCAGCCGCGGUAAUACGUAUGUCGCAAGCGUUAUCCGGAUUUAUUGGGCGUAAAGCGCGUCUAGGCGGUUUAGUAAGUCUGAUGUGAAAAUGCGGGGCUCAACCCCGUAUUGCGUUGGAAACUGCUAAACUAGAGUACUGGAGAGGUAGGCGGAACUACAAGUGUAGAGGUGAAAUUCGUAGAUAUUUGUAGGAAUGCCGAUGGGGAAGCCAGCCUACUGGACAGAUACUGACGCUAAAGCGCGAAAGCGUGGGUAGCAAACAGGAUUAGAUACCCUGGUAGUCCACGCCGUAAACGAUGAUUACUAGGUGUUGGGGGUCGAACCUCAGCGCCCAAGCUAACGCGAUAAGUAAUCCGCCUGGGGAGUACGUACGCAAGUAUG